RNAcentral lists this ribosomal RNA (402 nucleotides) under uncultured bacterium. RNAcentral describes it as "partial 16S ribosomal RNA". It matches the Rfam family "Bacterial small subunit ribosomal RNA", at positions 355 to 774 of the family's 1533-position model. The record is from RNAcentral.
UGGGGAAUCUUAGACAAUGGGGGCAACCCUGAUCUAGCCAUGCCGCGUGAGUGAUGAAGGCCUUAGGGUUGUAAAGCUCUUUCAGCUGGGAAGAUAAUGACGGUACCAGCAGAAGAAGCCCCGGCUAACUCCGUGCCAGCAGCCGCGGUAAUACGGAGGGGGCUAGCGUUGUUCGGAAUUACUGGGCGUAAAGCGCACGUAGGCGGACUGGAAAGUUGGGGGUGAAAUCCCGGGGCUCAACCUCGGAACUGCCUUCAAAACUAUCAGUCUGGAGUUCGAGAGAGGUGAGUGGAAUUCCGAGUGUAGAGGUGAAAUUCGUAGAUAUUCGGAGGAACACCAGUGGCGAAGGCGGUUCACUGGCUCGAUACUGACGCUGAGGUGCGAAAGCGUGGGGAGCAAACA